AACCUCCGCAAUGUGAGAAAUCGCGACGGGGGGAUCCCAAGUGCCAUUCUUAACGGGAUGGCUUUUCAUUAGUGUAAAGAGCUUUUGGAAUAAGGGCUGGGCAAGACCGGUGCCAGCCGCCGCGGUAACACCGGCAGCUCUAGUGGUAGCAGUUUUUAUUGGGCCUAAAGCGUCCGUAGCCGGUUUAAUAAGUCUCUGGUGAAAUCCUGUAGCUUAACUGUGGGAAUUGCUGGAGAUACUAUUAGACUUGAGACCGGGAGAGGUUAGAGGUACUCCCAGGGUAGAGGUGAAAUUCUGUAAUCCUGGGAGGACCGCCUGUUGCGAAGGCGUCUAACUGGAACGGUUCUGACGGUGAGGGACGAAAGUUAGGGACGCGAACCGGAUUAGAUACCCGGGUAGUCCUAACUGUAACGAUGCGGACUUGGUGUUGGGGUGGCUUUGAGCUGCUCCAGUGCCGAAGGGAAGCUGUUAAGUCCGCCGCCUGGGAAGUACGGUCGCAAGACUGAAACUUAAGGAAUU
RNAcentral lists this ribosomal RNA (519 nucleotides) under uncultured bacterium. RNAcentral describes it as "bacterial SSU rRNA". It matches the Rfam family "Archaeal small subunit ribosomal RNA", at positions 345 to 866 of the family's 1478-position model. The record is from RNAcentral.